ACCUGGACUCACAGGUUGUCUCAGCGACGGGAGAAAACCCGCGCAAGGCAAACAGGUCCUUUUCUGCUGUAUUAACGAGUUAAUUUAGGUCUUAGGAACCCCAUAGCCAACACAAAGGAGGCAACGGGAACCUCUCCUUUGAGUGGGGAUGGGGACAGGGACAAGCAGGGGGUAGUAGUGUGAAAAAUAGUACCCGUGUCAAUUAGAGAAUGGCAAAGCAGAAUGUAAGAAUAUGAGAAUGUGUCACUAGGAGAAUGGCAGGGCAGAGUGUGUUGGAGCUAACUAAGCUGGAGACGUUGGAACCUACGAGCGAUAACAGAAAGCACUGUGAAGAGAUAGCCCCCUGUGAAUAGGGGACAUGAACAAAACAGGGGGUGCAGAGCUAACUGAGCAAGGCUAGGGAUGAACGACAGCAGAAAACGCCAUGAGCGUGGCAGGUAAGAGACCGUAAAGCAGGCGACUGUGAAGACGCAAAUAGCCGAGUCACAAAGACACCUGAGGAAGACUCGUUCCUUCAGCCUCACGGCCACCAGAGAGACCCCCAGGAGGAUUAGCAGGCAUGCACAACAGCUCCAGGCUCUCAAGAUUGAGUUGACAUUCCCAUCCUCCCGUACCAAUCCUCUGCAUUUUGGGACUCCUUAAAUAUGGGCAUUUGAAGAGGAAAUGAGCUGCUCCACUGCCAGCUGCAGCUGCUGUUAUUGCCUGAGGAACAGCAAAAGAUGAGCUAGCACUGAUGAACCACUACUACUUUUAGACCUGCACCUACAACAAGAUCCUACAUAGUUUACUCUGCUGCUCACAGAGCUGCAGCAGGGUCAGUAAAGCAGUGGAUGUUUAAGACAGGUGAUGUUAUAACCCCUGAACCAAGGCAAUAUUCUGCUGCAAGUAACACCUGCUGACAGCCUUAACUGGCAACCAGGCUGCAUCUCAAGUAAUUUCUAUCUGAUUUCCUGGCAGGAUGGAAAAGGAAGGAAUGGAGCCCCUUUCUCCCUUCUGACUGGGAGCACCUCACAAACGAAGGAACUGCUUCAUCAGGGGAAAGUAUCCAUGGCCAUUCUACAGCCCUGACAGCAUCAGCCCCGAUUGCUCAUCUGUUUCCAAGUACGUCCGAGUCAUUUCGGUGGUGGGCAGAAAGUCAGGGACACUCUGCAUCCAGCACCCUGCAACGGAAGAAGCAUUACUCCUGCUGCUGUUAGCCUUGUUAUUUUCGUCUAAUAAAAAGGUGGUCAUGAGUCACUCAAUUUAGAAACAAAAGAGAGCUGUAAUCUACUGAAAGGCAGUUGUUUGGAUGCUCAGCAUUAGGUGUCUAAGAGGAAGGUCAGUUGCAGGUCAGGUCUGGGGGUGUACACUCUGCCACCAGUACAGGCCAAGCUUAGGGUAUUCCCCAGAGAGCUGAUUUUCUGGGCUGGUAUGUUUUGCCCCUCUUUCAGACUAGCACUUCAACCAGGAGGAGUGGUGGAGGGGAAAGCUCUCUUUCCCACCCCUCCACAUUUCACUUGGGUUUCCUGAGAGGAAAUUAUGCUCUCGUGUGACUGUGCUGACCCCCUCCUUCCUCCCGGGAGCAAGGAGUGGACCAGCAUCUGCCGACAGCCCCCCUUCCCCUCCCUGUGCCGCGCUGGGACCAGUUCAUCAGCCAGGCUGUUGCCGCGGUCAGACUCGGGGGGAGCCAGGCUGCUUCUCUGGGAGAAGGAAGCAGCUCCUCAGGCUGAGGGCUGUGAAGCAGAAAAGGCAAGGUCGUGCCCAGGUGCUGCUGAGGUUUCCUGUGGAAGUGGGUAGGAAUAAGGCACUGUGCCCCCGUCUGUGCCAGAGUCCCCAUCUAGUGAUAAAAAGAGGGGAGGAAUCACCCUGCCCAGAGGGUGACAUGAAAUUUGUCAGUAUUGCUGUGGCAAUGAUGUCCCUCAUGGUGAGGACCCUAUUCUGGCACGGAUCACG
Long non-coding RNA from Pogoniulus pusillus (Red-fronted tinkerbird), 1932 nucleotides. RefSeq lists it as uncharacterized. NCBI's taxonomy places the organism in Eukaryota, Metazoa, Chordata, Aves, Piciformes, Lybiidae. The record is from RefSeq and is a predicted model, not a curated record. The transcript has 3 exons.